GGAUAUGAGGGCGAUCUGGCUGCGACAUCUGUCACCCCAUUGAUCGCCAGGGUUGAUUCGGCUGAUCUGGCUGGCUGGGUGGUGUCCCCUUCCUCCCUCACCGCUGCACGUGCGUCCCUCCCAAAGCUGCGUGCUCGGGCAGUCGAAGAGGACGACCUUCCCCGACAGAGGACCGUUCUUCGGUCAAGGGUAUACAAGUAGCUGUAGAACCUCCAAACAAGCUCUCAAGAUAUUCAUAUGCUUAUCAAGUGGCAAAAGCAGAUGACAUGUUUAAUGAUUUAUCUAUAGAUAUAUACAUAACU
Molecule: small nuclear RNA, 302 nt
Filed under: Prolemur simus (greater bamboo lemur)
Lineage: Eukaryota; Metazoa; Chordata; Mammalia; Primates; Lemuridae
Description: 7SK RNA (ENSPSMG00000016073.1)
Rfam family: 7SK RNA
About the family: 7SK was discovered as an abundant small nuclear RNA in the mid-70s but a possible function has only recently been suggested. Two independent studies have found that 7SK RNA binds the CDK9/cyclin T complex (known as elongation factor P-TEFb).
Source: RNAcentral